GACGAACGCUGGCGGCGUGCUUAACACAUGCAAGUCGAACGAAGUGGCGAACGGGUGAGUAACGCGUAAUCAACCUGCCCUUCAGAGGGGGACAACAGUUGGAAACGACUGCUAAUACCACAUACUGAAGGAGGGGAUUGCGUCUGAUUAGCUAGUUGGAGGGGUAACGGCCCACCAAGGCGAGGAUCAGUAGACGGUCUGAGAGGAAGAACGGUCACAUUGGGACUGAGACACGGCCCAGACUCCUACGGGAGGGAGCAGUGGGGAAUCUUCCGCAAUGGAGGAAAGUCUGACGGAGCAACGCCGCGUGGUGGAUGACGGCCUUCGGGUUGUAAAGCUCUGUUAAUCGGGACGCGGUACCGGAAUAGAAAGCCACGGCUAACUACGUGCCAGCAGCCGCGGUAAUAC
Molecule: ribosomal RNA, 408 nt
Filed under: uncultured bacterium
Lineage: Bacteria
Description: partial 16S ribosomal RNA
Rfam family: Bacterial small subunit ribosomal RNA
Source: RNAcentral